CAACCCGCUUGGGUCCACUUCCACACUGUGGAAGCUUUGUUCUUUUGCUCUUCGCAAUAAAUUUUGCUGCUGCUCAUUCUUUGGCUCCACACUGCCUUUAUGAGCUGUAACACGUACUGCAAAAGUCUGCAGCUUCACUCCUGAGGCCAGCGAGACCACGAACCCACCAGAAGGAAGAAACUCCGAACACAUCCAAACAUCAGAAGGAACAAACUCCGGAUACGCAGCCUUUCAGAACUGUAACAGUCACCAGGAGGGUCCGCGGCUUCCUUCUUUAAGUCAGUGAAACCAAGAACCCACCAAUUCUGGACGCAAAAGAUGGUGCCAGAAGUGGGAUCUCAAGUAGAGCUUCCCAUGACCCCCAGAAGUGCUGAAUGAACACACAAGGUACCGGGUGCAGGACCACUUGUGUCCAAGGAUUUCCCAGAGUGGCUCAGGAUCUUGGCCCCCAGGGCUACAGUGCAGUGAGCUGGGUCACAAGGGCCACUCAGGGAAAGGAAAUCCAGAAGCCUGGCAUGCUGGCAAGAGGUAUAUUUUCACCAGGUAAAGAAAGCAUUUAUGAUUCACUAAGGACAGUUAACCCCUUCACAAUCUAGAAUCUGAAGAUUGGAUCUUCUGAAAACAUCAGAGAAAGACUCUCCUUGCCAUCCACACUGCAACAAAACUUUGGAACCUUGAACCUUGGAUACAUAAUCUCACAACUGAGAAGGAUCCCUCCACAUUCUUGGAACUGUACACCCAUUGGAACCCUUAAAGUAAAACUAACCAGGAAAGUUUCUCCCCAGAAGAUGGCAUCCUUGAUGUGAACAGCUUUUCCCAAGAUCACAGAUCAACACUUCUACUAUCAUGAGACUCUUACCUUUGAAUAUUUUCCUUGUUUAUGCCUCUGUGAACAAUAGAAAUGAAAAGGGGUCUAUUAUGUGCACUUACAGGGUAUACUUUUAUUUGUUAAGAACUUUGCAGCCAGUAUUAUACAUGAAUAACCUUAUACUUAGAUAGAUUAAAAAAUGAAGUCCCAAGGUAGGGGAGAAACUUUAAUGGUACAUACAUUGCCUCAUAAUCCGUCAAAACUCCUUUUAACCUACAUCAUGGGUUAAAGAGAACAUUGCCAGGAGGCCUUCACUCUUCCACAAGGACAUCAUUUGUUAGGUCUUUUUUCCAUGAUUUAGAAUAAAUAGGCAAUAAUUAGAAAUGUAUCCCUCAUAAUAGGCUUUAUAGCAGAUUCUACUGUGAAGGUUAAGGUUACACAACAGACUUUAAAUUCUCAUGUGAAAGUUACGUUAAAUAAUAGAAUUGGCUAAACAGAACAGUAACUUUGCAGCUGCCAACACUUGUGGCCUAUAGAGAAAUACAUCAAAUGUAGAUUAUAAAAAUUGAGUUGUAGGGGAUUAACGAAAAGACUACUCAGUCAAGCAAGUAGAUCUUCAUCUAGUUCAUUCUUUAAUCUACUUAAUUUUAAGUGGUUUGGUUUAUGGGAACCCUGGGUAAGGAGCAUACUCCAAACUCUUGGUAUUAUCCUCCCAAUAGUGAUAAUAAUAAUCUCCUUGGUGCACUGUAUUCUCUCAAAGGUUUUAAAUGUUUGCAUGCAGCCAUCUCUAGAAUGUCAAAUGGUCUCUCCAACAGGAAUGACAAAAGCUGAAAGAAAUGAGUGACCAUAAGGAUACUGUAACCUACAAAUGACGUGCUGAGACCAGAAACCCAAAAUGAUGGUAACAGAGAGUGACACUAAGGCCCUAAGUUUUGGUCACACUCUCACCUAAGUGAGAACCUGACCUGAAAGGGGGAAUUUUUUAAACAAAAUUAUGGAAGGCCAUUGUUUUGAACUAAGCUCUUGCACUAGGCCCCAACAGGCCAAACCAAACUAAAAUGGAGUUACUCAUGCUAAAUGUGACAUAAACAAACUAAGACUUGAAGAAAACACAUAGAUCAUAAAACAGACCAGGUUUUGUUUUUCUCCUGUAAACAGGAUGUUCCCGCAUAAGGAGGUACCCUCUACUCAAUCCCUGUGCCUACCUUUGUAAAACUCGCCGUUCUACUGUUUCCCAGUGGGUUUCAAGACCAAAUAAGUACAUUUACAAUGGUGAUAGUGACAUCAAUAGCUAAAGUUUUGGUCAUUCUCUCGAAAUUGAGAGAAUGACCAAAAGUGGGGAAUUGUUAAAGCAAACUAAAUACGGCCUGAGAAGGACUGCAUACUUCUAUAUUUGAGUCCUUGUGGAUGAACUGCAACCUAGCUUAAUAGGUACAAGAUUGAAAACCUAACUUAGGAGUGUGCACUUCUAACAAUAGCUAAGUCUUGCCCAAUGCCAAUGGCCAUAUGUCAACCAUUCAUACACUGCUGAGUGUUCAAACUGUGUUCAAAUAGGGCAAAUGUCAAGCUGUGACCUAUCCAGCUGUUCUGUAACUCACUUCCAAUUUCUGUACAUCAUUUCCGUGUUUUUUUUUUUUUUUUUUUUUUGUCUAUAAAUCUUCUUCCACCACAUGGCUACGCUGGAGUCUCUGUGAAUCUGCUGUGAUUUCCCGUCAUGAAUCGUUCAUUGCUCAAACUCCUUUAAAUUUAAUUGGACCAAAGUUUUUCUUUUAUCAUACCCCAGAGAAAUGAAAACUUAUGCCUACACAAAAAUUUGUACAACAAAUCAACAUAAUGAAAUAUUAUUUGUCAAUAAAAAGGAAUGAAGUACUGUUACAUGCUACAACAUAGAUGAACCUUGAAAACAUUACACUAAGUAAAAGAAGCCAAGCAUGAAUUAUACAUUGUAUGAUUCCAUUUAUAUGACAUGUCCAGAAUAGGCAAAUCCAGGGACAGAAAGUACAUCUAUCACUGGUUUCAUAGUGCUGGUAGGUUGAGGAGAAAUGGAAAGUGACUGCUAAAGGAUAUAGGGUUUUUCUUUGAAAUGAUGAAAGUAUUCUAAAAUUGAUUGUGGUGAUGGUUGCAUAACUCUGUGGAUACACUGAAAACCACUGUGUUGUCACUUUAAAAUGGGUAAAUUGUAUCGUAUGUGAAUUAUAUCUCAACAAAAUUGUUAUUUAAAAAGUGUUAGGAGCACCCACUCCCAGCUAUAAGCCCCUCAAGGACAAUGAUCAUACCUCGGACAUAGUAGAAACUCAGGAAAACAUUUAUUGAAAUGAAAAUCACUUAAGUAGAUCAGAAUGCAGGCAACAGCUAUUUAUUACAACUCCACAGAUUGCAACAUCUUCUAGACCUUGGACAUGCAGCUAGAAUUAAGAACUACCAAAAAAAUACAAAAAUGGUGAUAUUUGUUCUGUCUUCCAUUUCUCAGGUGUCAGCCAGCAUCAGAAUGUCCAUGACUCCUCUCAUUUAAUUAUACAUGGAGAAUGUUUCUCCAAACCUGCCUUUUUAGGUGAAACUAAUGACUAAAAUAAAUUUCUCCCACUUAGAUGUGUUACUCUAGAGAACUGAACUGAGAGGUAAGGAAAAGGUAUAGAAAUUAAAAUCGGGCCAGGCGUGGUGGCUCACGCCUGUAAUCCCAGCACUUUGGGAGGCCGAGGCGGGUGGAUCACGAGGUCAGGAGAUC
This 3533-nucleotide long non-coding RNA is filed under the name Homo sapiens (human). RNAcentral's name for it is "HSALNT0051850". Lineage: Eukaryota; Metazoa; Chordata; Mammalia; Primates; Hominidae. The record is from RNAcentral.